RNAcentral lists this small nuclear RNA (104 nucleotides) under Microcebus murinus (gray mouse lemur). Lineage: Eukaryota; Metazoa; Chordata; Mammalia; Primates; Cheirogaleidae. The record is from RNAcentral.
GUGCUUGCUUUUGUAGCAUAUAUACAAAAAUUGGAAUGAUACAGAGAUUUGCAUGCUCCUUGUGCAAGGAUGACAUGCAAAGUCUUGAAAUAUUCCAUAUUUUU